This 440-nucleotide ribosomal RNA is filed under the name uncultured Psychrobacter sp. Its description in RNAcentral is "bacterial SSU rRNA". It matches the Rfam family "Bacterial small subunit ribosomal RNA", at positions 358 to 790 of the family's 1533-position model. The record is from RNAcentral. Lineage: Bacteria; Pseudomonadati; Pseudomonadota; Gammaproteobacteria; Moraxellales; Moraxellaceae.
GGAAUAUUGGACAAUGGGGGAAACCCUGAUCCAGCCAUGCCGCGUGUGUGAAGAAGGCCUUUUGGUUGUAAAGCACUUUAAGCAGUGAAGAAGACUCUUCGGUUAAUACCCGGAGACGAUGACAUUAGCUGCAGAAUAAGCACCGGCUAACUCUGUGCCAGCAGCCGCGGUAAUACAGAGGGUGCAAGCGUUAAUCGGAAUUACUGGGCGUAAAGCGAGCGUAGGUGGCUUGAUAAGUCAGAUGUGAAAUCCCCGGGCUUAACCUGGGAACUGCAUCUGAAACUGUUAGGCUAGAGUAGGUGAGGGGGAGGUAGAAUUUCAGGUGUAGCGGUGAAAUGCGUAGAGAUCUGAAGGAAUACCGAUGGCGAAGGCAGCCUCCUGGCAUCAUACUGACACUGAGGCUCGAAAGCGUGGGUAGCAAACUGGAUUAGAUACCCUGG